RNAcentral lists this ribosomal RNA (503 nucleotides) under uncultured bacterium. RNAcentral describes it as "partial 16S ribosomal RNA". It matches the Rfam family "Bacterial small subunit ribosomal RNA", at positions 28 to 507 of the family's 1533-position model. The record is from RNAcentral.
GACGAACGCUGGCGGCGUGCUUAACACAUGCAAGUCGAACGGUGAAGCGCUUUCCUUUUUGGUUGGUGUGGAUGAGUGGCGAACGGGUGAGUAACACGUGAGUAACCUGCCCCCUUCUUCUGGAUAACCGCAUGAAAGUGUGGCUAAUACGGGAUAUUCUGCGCCUGCUGCAUGGUGGGUGUGGGAAAGAUUGUGCCUUUGGGUGUGUUCGGUGGGGGAUGGGCUCGCGGCCUAUCAGCUUGGGGGUGGGGUGAUGGCCUACCAAGGCGGUGACGGGUAGCCGGCCUGAGGGGGUGGACGGUCACACUUGGACUGAGGCACGGCCCAGACUCCUACGGGAGGCAGCAGUGGGGAAUAUUGCACAAUGGGCGCAAGCCUGAUGCAGCGACGCCGCGUGAGGGAUGGAGGCCUUCGGGUUGUGAACCUCUUUCGCCAGUGAAGCAGGCCUGCUCCUUGUGGGUGGGUUGACGGUAGCUGGAUAAGAAGCGCCGGCUAACUACGUG